UACGGAGGGUGCAAGCGUUAUCCGGAUUCACUGGGUUUAAAGGGUGCGUAGGUGGGCAGGUAAGUCAGUGGUGAAAUCUCCGGGCUUAACCCGGAAACUGCCAUUGAUACUAUCAGUCUUGAAUACCGUGGAGGUAAGCGGAAUAUGUCAUGUAGCGGUGAAAUGCUUAGAUAUGACAUAGAACACCAAUUGCGAAGGCAGCUUACUACCCGAAUAUUGACACUGAGGCACGAAAGCGUGGGGAUCAAGCAGG
RNAcentral lists this ribosomal RNA (253 nucleotides) under uncultured bacterium. Its description in RNAcentral is "partial 16S ribosomal RNA". It matches the Rfam family "Bacterial small subunit ribosomal RNA", at positions 524 to 776 of the family's 1533-position model. The record is from RNAcentral.